UACGUAGGGACCGAGCGUUGUCCGGAUUCAUUGGGCGUAAAGAGCUCGUAGGCGGCCACUCAAGUCGAAUGUGAAACCUCGAGGCUUAACCUCGAGCCUGCAUUCGAUACUGGGUGGCUAGAGUCUGGUAGGGGGAUCUGGAAUUCCUGGUGUAGCGGUGGAAUGCGCAGAUAUCAGGAGGAACACCGGUGGCGAAGGCGGGUCUCUGGGCCGAUACUGACGCUGAGGAGCGAAAGCGUGGGGAGCGAACAGG
RNAcentral lists this ribosomal RNA (253 nucleotides) under uncultured bacterium. RNAcentral describes it as "partial 16S ribosomal RNA". It matches the Rfam family "Bacterial small subunit ribosomal RNA", at positions 524 to 776 of the family's 1533-position model. The record is from RNAcentral.